This 1470-nucleotide ribosomal RNA is filed under the name metagenome. RNAcentral describes it as "bacterial SSU rRNA". It matches the Rfam family "Bacterial small subunit ribosomal RNA". The record is from RNAcentral.
AGAGUUUGAUCCUGGCUCAGGACGAACGCUGGCGGCACGCUUAACACAUGCAAGUCGAACGAGAGAAGAGGAGCUUGCUUUUCUGAUCUAGUGGCGGACGGGUGAGUAACACGUGAGCAAUCUGCCUUUCAGAGGGGGAUACCGAUUGGAAACGAUCGUUAAUACCGCAUAACAUAAUUGAACCGCAUGAUUUGAUUAUCAAAGAUUUAUCGCUGAAAGAUGAGCUCGCGUCUGAUUAGCUAGUUGGUAAGGUAACGGCUUACCAAGGCGACGAUCAGUAGCCGGACUGAGAGGUUGAUCGGCCACAUUGGGACUGAGACACGGCCCAGACUCCUACGGGAGGCAGCAGUGGGGAAUAUUGCACAAUGGAGGAAACUCUGAUGCAGCGAUGCCGCGUGAGGGAAGAAGGUUUUAGGAUUGUAAACCUCUGUCUUCAGGGACGAAAAAAGACGGUACCUGAGGAGGAAGCUCCGGCUAACUACGUGCCAGCAGCCGCGGUAAUACGUAGGGAGCGAGCGUUGUCCGGAAUUACUGGGUGUAAAGGGAGCGUAGGCGGGAUCGCAAGUCAGAUGUGAAAACUAUGGGCUUAACCCAUAAACUGCAUUUGAAACUGUGGUUCUUGAGUGAAGUAGAGGUAAGCGGAAUUCCUAGUGUAGCGGUGAAAUGCGUAGAUAUUAGGAGGAACAUCAGUGGCGAAGGCGGCUUACUGGGCUUUAACUGACGCUGAGGCUCGAAAGCGUGGGGAGCAAACAGGAUUAGAUACCCUGGUAGUCCACGCCGUAAACGAUGAUUACUAGGUGUGGGGGGACUGACCCCUUCCGUGCCGCAGCAAACGCAAUAAGUAAUCCACCUGGGGAGUACGACCGCAAGGUUGAAACUCAAAGGAAUUGACGGGGGCCCGCACAAGCGGUGGAGUAUGUGGAUUAAUUCGAAGCAACGCGAAGAACCUUACCAGGUCUUGACAUCGUAUGCAUAGCUCAGAGAUGAGUGAAAUCUCUUCGGAGACAUAUAGACAGGUGGUGCAUGGUUGUCGUCAGCUCGUGUCGUGAGAUGUUGGGUUAAGUCCCGCAACGAGCGCAACCCUUACUGUUAGUUGCUACGCAAGAGCACUCUAGCAGGACUGCCGUUGACAAAACGGAGGAAGGUGGGGAUGACGUCAAAUCAUCAUGCCCCUUAUGACCUGGGCCUCACACGUACUACAAUGGCUGUCAACAGAGGGAAGCAAAGCCGCGAGGUGGAGCGAACCCCUAAAAGCAGUCUUAGUUCGGAUUGUAGGCUGCAACCCGCCUACAUGAAGUCGGAAUUGCUAGUAAUCGCAGAUCAGCAUGCUGCGGUGAAUACGUUCCCGGGCCUUGUACACACCGCCCGUCACGCCAUGGGAGUCGGUAACACCCGAAGCCUGUAGUCUAACCGCAAGGAGGACGCAGUCGAAGGUGGGAUUGAUGACUGGGGUGAAGUCGUAACAAGGUA